CGUCGGCUUUGUCCACGCAUUCAGGACGCAAUUCAAUCCCCCUUUUUCCCCUAGAUGAGUUUGGGGUGAGGGGUCCUAGUGGUACACAUCCAUGCUGCACAGUGAGUGCCGCAGGUUGUAACCUCAGAGAGAUAUCUUAUAGCCGCCUAUUUCAUCUUGAAGUUGCGCGAGCGCUAUCUGGUGGCCUCACACUCUACUAAUGCCUCUAGGUCAUUGUAGAGGCAUUGAGUAUGGGUGCGCUUGCGGCGAUGGUGCGAUAUCCAUUCGAGACUGCAGGGUGAGGAAGAUCAUUCAAUAGGAAAGAUUUGAGGAUCGUUAAAGGGCAAAUAGAUAUUAAGGUGGAACAUGGGGUGGGUCUGAUGGCUUAGGAUGGCGACUCAGUAAAUCGAGGGCCUUGCUAUCAGCAAUCGUAUCUCAAAACUGAUCGUACAUUUAGAAGUGUGUGUCGGGACCAUCUGGAAUUGCUAAGAUUAUGUAUUACAUAUAGGGACAACGAGAGUUGGUGGGCUUUUGCCUCUAUACCAUGUGUAUUUUAUGGAAUAUAGAUAUCUUUUCCCCACGACUUCAAUUGAUGG
RNAcentral lists this small RNA (575 nucleotides) under Histoplasma ohiense. RNAcentral's name for it is "hypothetical lncRNA". Lineage: Eukaryota; Fungi; Ascomycota; Eurotiomycetes; Onygenales; Ajellomycetaceae. The record is from RNAcentral.